RNAcentral lists this ribosomal RNA (609 nucleotides) under Marinobacter sp. RNAcentral describes it as "bacterial SSU rRNA". It matches the Rfam family "Bacterial small subunit ribosomal RNA", at positions 60 to 661 of the family's 1533-position model. The record is from RNAcentral. Lineage: Bacteria; Pseudomonadati; Pseudomonadota; Gammaproteobacteria; Pseudomonadales; Marinobacteraceae.
AGUCGAGCGGAACGAUGGUAGCUUGCUACCAGGCGUCGAGCGGCGGACGGGUGAGUAAUGCUUAGGAAUCUGCCCAGUAGUGGGGGAUAGCCCGGGGAAACCCGGAUUAAUACCGCAUACGCCCUUUUGGGGAAAGCAGGGGAUCUUCGGACCUUGCGCUAUUGGAUGAGCCUAAGUCGGAUUAGCUAGUUGGUGGGGUAAAGGCUCACCAAGGCGACGAUCCGUAGCUGGUCUGAGAGGAUGAUCAGCCACAUCGGGACUGAGACACGGCCCGAACUCCUACGGGAGGCAGCAGUGGGGAAUAUUGGACAAUGGGGGCAACCCUGAUCCAGCCAUGCCGCGUGUGUGAAGAAGGCUUUCGGGUUGUAAAGCACUUUCAGUGAGGAGGAAGGCCUUAAGAUUAAUACUCUUAAGGAUUGACGUCACUCACAGAAGAAGCACCGGCUAACUCCGUGCCAGCAGCCGCGGUAAUACGGAGGGUGCAAGCGUUAAUCGGAAUUACUGGGCGUAAAGCGCGCGUAGGUGGUUGAGUAAGCGAGAUGUGAAAGCCCCGGGCUUAACCUGGGAACGGCAUUUCGAACUGCUCGACUAGAGUGUGGUAGAGGGGAG